RNAcentral lists this long non-coding RNA (915 nucleotides) under Lathyrus oleraceus (garden pea). Its description in RNAcentral is "Pisum sativum (pea) long non-coding RNA (PSAT_LNC012266)". The record is from RNAcentral. Lineage: Eukaryota; Viridiplantae; Streptophyta; Magnoliopsida; Fabales; Fabaceae.
GCAAAGUAGAAUUAGAUAAAAUGGGCAUUUUUAUGCAUUAACACCAAUACAUUAAUAUUAUAAUCUCAUUGUUAAUAUGCAUCCAAAAUAAAUAAAUAAAAGAGUUUUUUAUUUUACCACAGAAGAAAUACAAGAAAAUUUAUUCUUGAUGUGGUCCCCACAUAGUUCCUCCAUCAUUUCACACACCCACAUCCAUUUGCCAUCUAUUUCUUUUCACAUCGUACCAUCCUGCAUAAACCUGCAAACAAAAAGCCAAAACUAAUAUGUGUUGCAAACAUGAAUUCAUACAUACCAUAUAUUACAUUCAAUUGAAUAAACAUCAAAGGAAACAUUAAUAAAAUUAAACAAUAAUGUUGCCAAACGCAUGAGUUACUCCAUACCACACGUCAAAUCAAUUAAAAGAGGGAAAUGACAAAUUGUUCAAAAUAAGUAAAACGAAUUUUCACAAAUCCAUAUUCAUCAUACACAACAUACCAUGCCAUCAACAUCCAAACUUCAUCACCGUGCCUUGUGAUAAACCACAAUCAAAACAUUGUUAUGCAUAACAGUCACCACUCCAUAUACAACAAAAAUCACCACAACAAAGCAUUUCGUAAAAAAUCCAAACACACAUCCAUCUACAUGUCAUGUGCAAAUCAAGGCAAAUCAAAAUAAUAAUCCAUCCCAACGAAUGUAGCUCAAGACACAUCAACAAUCAUGUUAACAUAUACAUACAUACAUCAUAGGUAAUUUUGGGACCACAAAACUCAUACACAACUCAACAACAUGAUUAACCAACCAACGGAAUCUAAUAUAUACUCAAAAAAAUCACAUGUGUCUUAGCAAUACAAAUCCUCUCAUCCUAUCCCCGAACUUCUCCUAUAAAAAAAGACCUAUGACUGAUUAAUAGGGAAGAGAAAAAAAACAUAUUGUUAC